GCGGGGGGUGCCGGCUCCGAGCGGGGCCGGGCGGCGGCGGCGGCGGCGCUGCGGUUGCGCCAUCUGUCAGAGCCCCGGUGGGAGGGAGGGAGCGCCCGAGCCUCGCUCGCCCGGGCGGAGCGGAGCGGAGGCGAGGCGGCAGCGGCAGCGCGGACAGCCCGUGCGAGCUCAUCCCUGCCCAGGCUGCGGCUGUGCCGCCUUACGGAGCCGCCGCCUCCGCGCCCGGCCGCGGCUUCCCGCAGCGCGUCCGCCCCGGGAGAGGCAGCGGCGCUCGGAGCGGCGCCCCUCGCUGCGGGCGGGCGGGGGCAGCCGGCGGAGGAACGGAGCGAGGAGGAUGCGAGUGCGGCGGCGCCGCCCCGGCCCCGCGCUGCGCUGAGCUGAGCCGAGCCAAGCCGAGCCGCCUCAGGGCAUAUUUUCAAGCCAUUUGUGAGGAAAUGUGGUGAAUGUAAACUUGCUCUCUUCGGGGGGGAAAUUGUGGUAAGUGGUGCUGUCUUGAUUAAUUUUGGUUUUCAACAAAAAUUUCAGAAAGGUUGUUUUAGCUUUCUUCAGUUUUAAUUUUUCUUUUAUUAUUUUUUUUUUAGCUCUGGAAAAUAAAGAGAGAUCGUUGAUUAUAUGUGUUCUUUCU
This is a long non-coding RNA of Junco hyemalis (dark-eyed junco), 625 nucleotides long. The record is from Ensembl. Lineage: Eukaryota; Metazoa; Chordata; Aves; Passeriformes; Passerellidae.